CAGCGAGUGGAUGGCUUGGCUCGAGAGCCAACGAAGGACGUGGUAAGCUGCGAUAAGUCCAGGGUAGGAGCAGACAUCCGUUGAUCCUGGAAUCUCCUAAUGUGACAUCACAACUAUCCGCUUCGCGGAAGGGAACGAAGGGAAUUGAAACAUCUUAGUACCUUCAGGAAGAGAAAUCAAACGAGAUGCCGUCAUUAGCGGCGAGCGAAAACGGCAGAGUCUAAACCGAAUCCGUUUGCGACGAGCAAGUGGAGAUGUGGGGUUGUAGGACUAACGUAGUAUCCUAACCAAGGCAACCGAAGCUGCUGGAAAGCAGUGCCAUAGCGGGUGAUAGCCCCGUAGGUGAAACUUUGGAGGGUAAGCAGUUAGUAUCCUGAGUAGCGGUCCUUGGUAUUGGAUCGCGAAUCCGGGUGGCACCGUCAUCCAAGACUAAAUACUACUCGAGUCCGAUAGCGCACUAGUAGUGUGAACGAAAGCUGAAAAGUACCCCGGGAAGGGGGUGAAAAGACCCUGAAACUCGUUGGCGAUGGUUAGUUGCGGCUUGAAAGCGUAAGCAAAGUUGCAACGUCGGUUUGGGAUAACUGGCCAGGGAGCUCAUACAAAUGGCGAGGUUAACCCACUUGCGUGGGGAAGCCAAAGGGAAACCAAAAAGCCUGUAGCUUGCGAGAGGCGUCCUGUUAAUAGCGGGAGAAGUCUUUUGUGUGAGGCCCGAAGCCCGUGCGAUCUAGCCGUGGGCAAGACGAAGCCUGGCCAAACACCAGGUGGAGGUCUGAAGGGGUAUUGUGGACCUAGCAUUCCUCUGACCUGCGGUUAGUGGUGAAAGGCCAAUCUAGCCGGGCGAUAGCGGGUUCUCUUCGAAACGCCGUCCCAGGACGGCCCCGCUGGAGAUGUCUUUGAAGGUAGAGCGACGGAUAGGAGUAACCGGGGGAGAAAUCCUUCGGCCCCCUGUCCAACUCCGAACUUCAUUGAAUCGUAGAAGGCGGGUGGCGGACAUAGGGGUAAGCCGCUUGUCCGAGAGGGGAACAUCCCAGACUUGAGUUAAGGUCCCUAAGCUCUAGCUAAGUGUGAAAGGUUGAAGGUUGUCUAGGAUCAUAAACAGGGGGAAGGUAGGCUCAGAAGCUGCCAUCCUCUAAGGAGUGCGUAAAAGCUCACCCCUCGAGAUUCUAGGCGCCGAAGAUGGACGGGGCUAAGCUGGACACCGAAACUCAAGCCCUGCAUGUAUUUGCGGGGGGUAGAAGAGCGCUGCGGUGGGGCAGAAGCAGGGGCGUGAGUUCCUGUGGACCUGCCGGAGACGAGAAUCCUGGCGAUAGUAGCAAGAAAGUUAGGUAAGAAUCCUAACCGCCGAAGGGGCAAGGGUUCCUCGGCAAUGGUCGUCAGCCGAGGGUUAGGCGGUCCUAAGGCAGCACCCAACAGGUCGCUGUCGAAAGGGAAGCCGGUUAAUAUUCCGGCCUCAUGAAUGUAGGUGCGGUAACGCAAGCUGUGCAUCUGACGUUUCGGGAUAGGUUCAGUGGGGCAGUCACCCCAUCCAAACGUUUAAGUCCGGGGAGUGCCGUCAUGGUGAGAACCGGUUAAAUGCGUGAAUGGCUUUGCCGUUAAAGGUAGAGUUGGGCUGAUUCCUGGAACCUGUGAAAAGGAUGCCAGAACGAAAUUCAUGUCCGUACCCAGAACCGACACUGGUGCCCCUGGGUGAGUAGCCCAAGGCGUAUCGGGUAUAACCUGAGUAAGGGAACUCGGCAAAUUAGUCCCGUAACUUUGGAACAAGGGAUGCCCGGUCUCUCGCUGAGAUCGGGUCGAAGUGACAAGGGAGAACCGACUGUUUAACAAAAACAUAGCUGACUGCUAUCCGGUAACGGCCUGUACAGUCAGUGAGGCCUUCCCACUGCUGGUUACUUAAGCCUUCUUUCAAGGGGGUGAAGGGCCAGUAAAGGGAGGGGGUAACUGUGACCCUCUUAAGGUAGCGAAAUACCUUGCCGGUUAAAUGCCGGCGCGCAUGAAGGCUUAACGAGUUCUCCACUGUCCCUACUCAGGACCCGGCGAAUAUACCCUCCAGGUGCGAAGGCCUGGGACUCCUAUCGGGUCGCAGAGACCCCGUGGAGCUUUACUGCAUCCUGCCGUUGUAUCGUGCCUUGAAUUGCAGAGUGUAUGUGGGAGCCUUCGAAGCCGCCCUUCCGGGGGUGGUGGAGGCGAAAUUGGAACACCACACUCUUUGAGUUACGAUACUAAUCCCGCUCUGCGGGAGACAGCGGUUGGUGGGCAGUUUGGCUGGGGCGGCACCCCGACGAUAAGGAAUCAUCGGGGCCCAAUGGUUGCCUCAGGGGGGUCAGAACUCCCCCGCAGAGGGCAAGACCAAAAGGCAGCCUGACGGAAUUCUGCACAAUAGUGAAUUCCGAUACGAAAGUAGGGUCUAGCGAACCUCCAUGUCCCUCGCGGUGAGGGCUGGAGCUGUCAGAAAAGUUACCCCGGGGAUAACAGACCUGUGCCGAGCGAGAGUACCCAUUGACCUCGGCGUUUGGGGCCUCGCUGUCGGCUUUUCCCAUCCUGGUCGUGCAGGAGCGGCCAAGGGUGCGGGUGUUCACCGGUUAAAGGGGAUCAUGAACUGGGUUCAAUACGUCGCGAGACAGUAUGGUUGUUAACUGGUAGGAGUGUUCGGUGUCUGAGAGGAAGGCAACGUAAGUACGAGAGGAACACGUUACCGAAGCCAACGGUGAGCGGUUGUCCGACAGGGCAAGCCGCGCAGCUGCGCUUUAACGGAUAAGAGCUGAAAGCAUCUAAGCCCGAAGCCGUCCUCGAAAAGAGUCACCGUUUGAGAGUUAGGGUAGAAGACCCUGUUGAUAGACAGGCAGUGUAAGCAGCAAGCUUCGGCGAGUUGUUCAGCUGGCCUGCACUAAAAGCUCG
Molecule: ribosomal RNA, 2895 nt
Filed under: Candidatus Bathyarchaeota archaeon
Lineage: Archaea; Thermoproteati; Candidatus Bathyarchaeota
Description: 23S ribosomal RNA
Rfam family: Archaeal large subunit ribosomal RNA
Source: RNAcentral